This 253-nucleotide ribosomal RNA is filed under the name uncultured bacterium. Its description in RNAcentral is "partial 16S ribosomal RNA". It matches the Rfam family "Bacterial small subunit ribosomal RNA", at positions 524 to 776 of the family's 1533-position model. The record is from RNAcentral.
UACAGAGGAGGCAAGCGUUAUUCGGAAUCACUGGGCGUAAAGCGCACGCAGGCGGAUCGAUAAGUCGGGGGUGAAAGCCCGGGGCUCAACCUCGGAAUUGCCUUCGAUACUGUCGGUCUCGAGUCCGGGAGAGGUGAGUGGAAUUCCUAGUGUAGAGGUGAAAUUCGUAGAUAUUAGGAAGAACACCAGUGGCGAAGGCGGCUCACAGGCCCGGUACUGACGCUCAGGUGCGAAAGCGUGGGGAGCAAACAGG